Molecule: ribosomal RNA, 374 nt
Filed under: Octopus cf. tetricus CT123
Lineage: Eukaryota; Metazoa; Mollusca; Cephalopoda; Octopoda; Octopodidae
Also listed under: 1 other name
Description: partial 12S ribosomal RNA
Source: RNAcentral
AGAGACCCUAUUAUUUCUUGUUGUAAAAAUUAAUUUUGUUUACCUAAGUAUUAUGAAAAUGACUAAAAUAGUUAUUGAUUGUUGUUUAAAACUUAAAAGGUUUGGCGGUUUUACAUAUCCAGUUAGGGGAGUUUGUUAAUAUAAUUUGAUAAUCCMCAUUUUAAACUUACUUUUUUUUGNNNNAAUUAUAUAACGGUUUAUAUAUUGCUGUCGGCAGUUUAUAUUUUAAGAGUAAAAGGACUUUUGAAUUUUAGGAUUUAUAUGUCAAGUCAUAAUGUAGCUGAUAAAGAAGGUUUAAUGGACUACUAUAAUUUAUAUUAUUUACUUAUCCGGAUAAUGAAAAUUAAAUUUUGUUAGUAAGGUGGACUUGAUAG